This 375-nucleotide ribosomal RNA is filed under the name uncultured bacterium. RNAcentral describes it as "bacterial SSU rRNA". It matches the Rfam family "Bacterial small subunit ribosomal RNA", at positions 521 to 895 of the family's 1533-position model. The record is from RNAcentral.
UAAUACGUAGGCAGCAAGCGUUGUUCGGAGUUACUGGGCGUAAAGGGUGUGUAGGCGGUUGUUUAAGUUUGGUGUGAAAUCUCCCGGCUUAACCGGGAGGGUGCGCCGAAUACUGAAUGACUUGGAGUGCGGGAGAGGAAAGUGGAAUUCCUGGUGUAGCGGUGAAAUGCGUAGAUAUCAGGAGGAACACCGGUGGUGUAGACGGCUUUCUGGACCGUAACUGACGCUGAGACACGAAAGCGUGGGUAGCAAACAGGAUUAGAUACCCUGGUAGUCCACGCCCUAAACGAUGCAUAUUUGGUGUGGGCAGUUCAUUCUGUCCGUGCCGGAGCUAACGCGUUAAAUAUGCCGCCUGGGGAGUACAGUCGCAAGGCU